GUGUCAGCAGCCGCGGUAAUACGGAGGAUGCAAGCGUUAUCCGGAUUCAUUGGGUUUAAAGGGUGCGUAGGCGGAGUACUAAGUCAGCGAUGAAAUCCUGCAGCUUAACUGUAGAACUGUCAUUGAUACUGGUAUUCUUGAAUGCAGUUGAGGUAGGCGGAAUGUGUAAUGUAGCGGUGAAAUGCUUAGAUAUUACACAGAACACCGAUUGCGAAGGCAGCUUACUAAACUGUGAUUGACGCUGAGGCACGAAAGCGUGGGGAGCAAACAGGAUUAGAUACCCUGGUAGUCCACGCCGUAAACUAUGAUUACUCGCUGUUGGCGAUACAUUGUCAGCGGCUGAGCGAAAGCAUUAAGUAAUCCACCUGGGGAGUACGAUCGCAAGGUUGAAACUUAAAUGAAUUGACGGGG
Molecule: ribosomal RNA, 411 nt
Filed under: uncultured prokaryote
Description: bacterial SSU rRNA
Rfam family: Bacterial small subunit ribosomal RNA
Source: RNAcentral